RNAcentral lists this ribosomal RNA (247 nucleotides) under uncultured bacterium. Its description in RNAcentral is "partial 16S ribosomal RNA". It matches the Rfam family "Bacterial small subunit ribosomal RNA", at positions 86 to 334 of the family's 1533-position model. The record is from RNAcentral.
UGCCGGCGACCGGCGCACGGGUGCGUAACACGUAUACAAUCUACCCUUUACAGGGGGAUAGCCCUCCGAAAGGAGGAUUAAUACCCCAUAAUAAAUUGAAUGGCAUCAUUUGAUUUUGAAAGAUUUAUCGGUAAAGGAUGAGUAUGCGUCUGAUUAGCUAGUUGGAGAGGUAACGGCUCCCCAAGGCGACGAUCAGUAGGGGAUCUGAGAGGACUACCCCCCACACUGGUACUGAGACACGGACCAG